This 296-nucleotide long non-coding RNA is filed under the name Brassica napus (rape). RNAcentral describes it as "long non-coding RNA (BNAP_LNC026601)". The record is from RNAcentral. Lineage: Eukaryota; Viridiplantae; Streptophyta; Magnoliopsida; Brassicales; Brassicaceae.
UAUAAGGCUCAGAGACAAAGGUCCUAACGUUCUAAAACAAAUAGAAAAUGAAACAAAUCAAGCAAAGUAGCAAAAUCGAAAAACUAGCCGUUGGAGCCUGUUAUGGGAUUUUGGCUCCAAGUGAGAAACUUGAUUCUUCUUGAACCUGAACGGUUUUAAUGGAUAAGAGAGCUUCCUUGGGACCUUCCUGGGUGAUUUAUAGGUUCUGGUCUCGUGCCUGAUCUGAAGAGAAAAGAUCGGUUGGACAUUAAUGUCGGUUUGAUCCAAAUAAGGUAGGUUUGAGUAAAUGAGGAUCC